CAAAUAUUUAUAGGAUUAAGAUGGGCAUGCGUGUCAUUAGCUAGUUGGCGGGGUAACGGCCCACCAAGGCGACGAUGACUAGGGGAUCUGAGAGGAUGACCCCCCACACUGGUACUGAGACACGGACCAGACUCCUACGGGAGGCAGCAGUAAGGAAUAUUGGUCAAUGGAGGCAACUCUGAACCAGCCAUGCCGCGUGCAGGAAGACAGCCCUCUGGGUCGUAAACUGCUUUUAUUCGGGAAUAAACCACAUUACGUGUAAUGUGCUGAAUGUACCGAAGGAAUAAGGAUCGGCUAACUCCGUGCCAGCAGCCGCGGUAAUACGGAGGAUCCAAGCGUUAUCCGGAUUUAUUGGGUUUAAAGGGUGCGUAGGCGGCUUAUUAAGUCAGGGGUGAAAGACGGUGGCUCAACCAUCGCAGUGCCUUUGAUACUGAUGAGCUUGAAUACACUAGAGGUAGGCGGAAUGUGACAAGUAGCGGUGAAAUGCAUAGAUAUGUCACAGAACACCGAUUGCGAAGGCAGCUUACUAUGGUGUGAUUGACGCUGAGGCACGAAAGCGUGGGGAUCAAACAGGAUUAGAUACCCUGGUAGUCCACGCCCUAAACGAUGAAUACUCGCUGUUAGCGAUAUACAGUUAGCGGCUAAGCGAAAGCGUUAAGUAUUCCACCUGGGGAGUACGCCCGCAAGGGUGAAACUCAAAGGAAUUGACGGGGGCCCGCACAAGCGGAGGAGCAUGUGGUUUAAUUCGAUGAUACGCGAGGAACCUUACCCGGGCUUGAAAGUUAGUGAAUCAUUUAGAGAUAGAUGAGUCCGCAAGGACACGAAACUAGGUGCUGCAUGGCUGUCGUCAGCUCGUGCCGUGAGGUGUUGGGUUAAGUCCCGCAACGAGCGCAACCCCUAUGUUUAGUUGCCAGCACGUUAUGGUGGGGACUCUAAACAGACUGCCUGUGCAAACAGAGAGGAAGGAGGGGACGACGUCAAGUCAUCAUGGCCCUUACGUCCGGGGCUACACACGUGCUACAAUGGAUGGUACAGAGGGCAGCAAGCUGGCAACAGCAAGCGAAUCUCAAAAAGCCAUUCACAGUUCGGAUAGAGGUCUGCAACUCGACCUCUUGAAGUUGGAUUCGCUAGUAAUCGCGUAUCAGCAAUGACGCGGUGAAUACGUUCCCGGGCCUUGUACACACCGCCCGUCAAGCCAUGGAAGUUGGGGGUACCUAAAGUAUGUAACCGUAAGGAGCGUCCUAGGGUAAAACCGAUAACUGGGGCUAAGUCGUAACAAGGUA
This 1283-nucleotide ribosomal RNA is filed under the name metagenome. RNAcentral's name for it is "bacterial SSU rRNA". It matches the Rfam family "Bacterial small subunit ribosomal RNA", at positions 202 to 1498 of the family's 1533-position model. The record is from RNAcentral.